RNAcentral lists this ribosomal RNA (662 nucleotides) under Lomentospora prolificans. RNAcentral's name for it is "SSU rRNA". It matches the Rfam family "Eukaryotic small subunit ribosomal RNA", at positions 1 to 662 of the family's 1831-position model. The record is from RNAcentral. Lineage: Eukaryota; Fungi; Ascomycota; Sordariomycetes; Microascales; Microascaceae.
AUAGUUACCUGGUUGAUUCUGCCAGUAGUCAUAUGCUUGUCUCAAAGAUUAAGCCAUGCAUGUCUAAGUAUAAGCAAUUAUACCGCGAAACUGCGAAUGGCUCAUUAUAUAAGUUAUCGUUUAUUUGAUAGCACAUUACUACAUGGAUAACUGUGGUAAUUCUAGAGCUAAUACAUGCUAAAAAUCCCGACUUCGGAAGGGAUGUAUUUAUUAGAUUAAAAGCCAACGCCCUUCGGGGCUUCCUGGUGAUUCAUAAUAACUUUUCGAAUCGCAUGGCCUUGCGCCGGCGAUGGUUCAUUCAAAUUUCUUCCCUAUCAACUUUCGAUGCGAAGGUAUUGUCUUCGCAUGGUUGCAACGGGUAACGGAGGGUUAGGGCUCGACCCCGGAGAAGGAGCCUGAGAAACGGCUACUACAUCCAAGGAAGGCAGCAGGCGCGCAAAUUACCCAAUCCCGACACGGGGAGGUAGUGACAAUAAAUACUGAUACAGGGCUCUUUUGGGUCUUGUAAUCGGAAUGAGUACAAUUUAAAUCCCUUAACGAGGAACAAUUGGAGGGCAAGUCUGGUGCCAGCAGCCGCGGUAAUUCCAGCUCCAAUAGCGUAUAUUAAAGUUGUUGUGGUUAAAAAGCUCGUAGUUGAACCUUGGGCCUGGCUGGCCGGUCCC